RNAcentral lists this long non-coding RNA (916 nucleotides) under Rosa chinensis. RNAcentral describes it as "sRNA RchiOBHm_Chr7g0178311". Lineage: Eukaryota; Viridiplantae; Streptophyta; Magnoliopsida; Rosales; Rosaceae. The record is from RNAcentral.
ACCAAUUUAGGAGUGGAGUGCCUUCUGUGUAAUAAAAAGUUUCUGGUCAAGGUGUGGACUGUUGAUAGAAGUUGAGUCUCACUUUUGGCAUUUCUCUAUCAGAUGACAUCUAUCAAUGGAAACCGGGAACUAGGAGUAUAACACUCGCUGUAUUUUCGCAAUUGCUGUGAUUCUCUAAGAUUCUCAACUUUCCGGCCUCAAUUUAUCAAACAAUGAGGAUCGGUUUGUGCUUCAGUCUAAGGCAAUGAGAAUGAGCAAAGGGUGACAAGUUGUUGGCGUCGCAAAAUGCAGAGAGCCAUCAGAGAUUCAGAAAGGUUUAGGUAUGCAAGGGAUACAUCAUUCGAAAAGAGUCAUUUGCAUUACAAUUUUUCAGGUCAGUUACUAUGAGUACCUGACUCUGAGGCAUGGUUUUAUCUCUGCAGAUUUAGCACUUGAGAUCAUUUAUUCUCAUGCUAAUGGGUGAGAGAAGAGGAUUUGGCAAAGGACUGGAAACUGCGCUUGAAGCAUCUUCGUACGUUGUACUUUAUGAUUUUCUGAGGAGGUGAAAUUGGUCACCCGAGACCAUAGGAAGAAGGCAUAGAUAGACGGAGAGAUAUGAAGCUCAUUUAUGGAACAAAGGGUCUUGGAAUCCAACACAAAGGAAGAAGGGAAAACAGGGGCUUAUGACAAAGAAGAAUCCACAACAAAAGCAUAUGAGUUGGCAGCACUCAAGUAGUGGGGAACAUCAACUUUUACAAAUUUUCUGGUGUCGGAUUAUGAGAAUGAAAUUGAUCUGUUGAACACUAACAAAAAGAAGAGUACUUGGCCUUUCUAAGAAGCUAAUUAUUCAUCUUCAAAUUAAUAAGCAGUUGAGCAGCCUACUUUAACUGUUGUAAAAAUUUCAAGAGAUGAAUUUGAUCUAUCUAUUUACUAAUUA